GCUGCCUUGGAGGCCUUGAAGUGCUGUAGCAGCACAUCAUGGUUUGCAUGCUCUGCCCAGGGUGCAAAUCAUUUUCUGCUGCUGUAGGAAUUGAAGGCUCAGAAGCACUGGGGGAUCCCCUGUCUCCUUUUCCAGGAGGGAAUUUUGUGUUCUGCCUGCAGGACUCGUGCUCGUUCCGCCCUAGCAGCACGUAAAUAUUGGAGUGUCAAAGAAACCUUCAACCCCAAUAUUAUUGUGCUGCUUCAGCGUGGCAGAGACUCAGCACCUGGGGGGGCUUUAUCUCUGAACUCAUCAGUACUAAUUGAAAUCUGAAUUGUUUAAUUGUUUCAUCAUCUGUGGUCUGCUGCCCUCUCAGAGACGUGGUUUUGCUGAGAAAUGAGAGUGGAAAAUGAAUUGUGCAUAAAAUAAGUGCAACAAAAAUCUCCUGAAUUGUGUUUGUUGUUUACACUUGUUUAGCAGCUCCAGAAAUAGUUUUAACCAGUGUUUAUAACCAAUUACAGUUCACAGCCCAUACUGUAAAAUUAAUCACAAUUUGUCAAUAUAAUAUCAUUUAUAUUCAUGUUUGACCUUCAGAUCCUGAGGCUUGCUUGCAUCUGUUUGCUGUUUUAAAGUCAGGCUGAGGGGAACAACAUUAUUUUUUUUCCUAGUUUUUAAAUAAUGAGAAUUUUGCUAUGUGCCAGCCAAUUAAGAUGUAAAUUAAGCUGCAAGUAUUUACAUAUUAAUUCCAUUAAAUAAUUAUUUUUGCCAUUACCUGUAAUUACUAACAAGUCCCAAAUCUACUCUGGCCUAGAAAUCAGUGAUCAGUGGGAGCUUCCCAAGGUCUGAAAUGUUUAAUAGAGUUUAUUUUAGGCCUGGUUCUGUCAAAGGAGCUUCCAGUUCCCCUCUAAAAUACCAAAAUAUUUAAAGAACUUGUAGCUGGGUGGCUGUGCUUGCUUCACUUCCUCCAGGCUUUCUGUGCAGUCCUUUUUUACAGCUACACCCACAAAAAGAGGAUAUCUCUGUUUGCAAGUCUCCAUGCCAAUUAAUUAUUUCCUCCAACACUUUAUUCCUGUAUUUUCUGCUUCAGGAUGGAGCGAGAAGCACCUCCAAGAAAACAACUUGGAGUAAAUACAUCCUUUUAUUUAUUUAUUUAUUUAUUUUUUUAAUACAGUUGUUCUGCAAUCUCAUUUUGCCAAAAUUUCCAGCAGGGAGAAAUGUAAAGUGAAAGAUGAAGCAGGGUGGGAAUGCUGGGCCAGAGACCCCAAAGCUCACUUAGAGAACAUUUGGAAGAGAAUAUUGAUAGCUUCAUUUCUUUUCUAUUUUUCCCCCCAAAAGGGAUUUGUUUUCUUCUCCCACGAAUUGUUUCAGUGAGGGGAGCAUCCCUUUUUCCCUAAAAGCUGGAAUUUCAGGCUUGCCACCCUCCAAAGGGAAAUAAGGGGAACUAGAGCAAGUAUUAACCAUGAACCAGAGCUUCCCACCAGAAUUUUCAUAUUUCAUCACAGCAGGCUUUGUCUCAGAAGCUGCUCUGAGAUUUUCUGCCUUUUUUAGCCUUUCUGACAGGGCAGGGCCUUUCUCUUUGCCUUUUUAAAGUGAAAUCCACUGAUCUGACGGUCCAAAAUUCAGUAUUUCCAACUGGGAAAUAUUUUCCAGAGAGUGACAGCAGAACUUCAACCCCCAAAUCCUAAAGUUUAUAGUUGAAAGGAAAUGAAACCAUCUAAGGCUGUGGAUUGUUAUCACAAGGAUUGCAUUUUCCCCCCUAAUAUUUUUCAAAUAAUUUAAAAUUGAAGGCAUAAGUAACAGGUUUAUUUGGCUUUUACUCUUUUUUUUUUUAGUAGCAAAACUAAGAGUUUAAUUAAAUUUAACCAAGUAUUUCUCAUUUAAAUUAAGUUAUAAAUCUCUGAUUCUUGACUAUAUCAAUAGAGUGUAAUUAAAAUAUUUCUCUUGCACUCUGGAUUUUGGGGAAAAAUAUUAAGGAAGGAUUAUCAAGUGCUGGUUUGGGUGUGUGACAGAACAUUUACUGUCAGAGCUAAAAAAAAAUGUUGUAGGAGAACAUGUCCUACAUGUAGUACCAACACCUUUAGAGCUUUGAUUUUAUCUUGCUCACAUAAUUGCCAUUACUCAAUGGAAAAUAUUUGCUUUUUAGAAGACUGCUUCAGGUUUUUUUGCUUCCUUUUCCCCCUUUCACCCCCUCUUUUGCAGUGUUUUUCUGCUGAUUUUGGUGCUUUUUAGGGUAAAAUUUGAAAGCUGAGAUUUGCUAUAGGUGUUUCUGCUGAUGCCAAACUGAAAAUAUUCAAAUCAAACUGCUGCUGACUCCUGUGAAUAAAAUCACAAAAAAAACACCAAACCCCACCUGUGGGAAAACAGAAAAUGUGAGAGUAAUUGAGUAGCUCUAGAAAAAAUUACAAAUUCUGGGCCUGAACUUGCAAAUUGAAAUAAAUCUGGUUUCAGAAUUCUUCUGGUUGCAAUGGGAUGUUGCCAGCACAGAACAGGAGGAGUUUGUCACUUCUGGGAUCCUUAACUCCAACACUCCACAGUGCAUGUUUUUCAUGAAUUUCCCUGUGCUUUUAGUGCUUCAGGAAUAGAUAAUUAUUUUGCAUUAUUAUAAAAAUUUAAAAUAAUCACAAAUAUGUUGCAUUUUUAAUGAGCCUGCCACAGCCUGAAACUGCAGCAGGAAAAAGUGCAUCUUGUCACUUAAAAAAAAGAGAGUUUGGGGGGAAAUCUGGCACCUUGCUGCUGCUUUUCUGUCUUUCACACCUUGCAGGAGCUUGGAGGGGUGCAAAGAACAACAAAUAAAAUAAUUGAGCUUUGACAGAAAGCCUUGGAGCUCUGGCCAGACUGGCAAACUCAGAGUGCUUGUGCUGCUCUCUGCUGUGACUCCUCUGGAAGGCUCCAACAUCUCAGAGUUUGUGCUUUCCUCGAGGAAGGAGGAGAGAAAUGGGAGCCCUGGGGAAUGGCAGGCUUGGAAGUGCAGGGGGAAGGAAUAUCUGGGAUCUGUGGCCAUCUCUGGCAUGGGCAAGGUGAGAAGCAGAGUCACCAAAAAGGGUGGGAAAGCCAAGUGGAGCUGCCCAGGUAACCCCCAGCAGCCCCUCUGCACAUCACUAUUGCAGAAUUCAUUCUGCAUUCAUGGCAACCAACUUCUAAAUUUAUUUUAGUUUAUUUCAGAAUCUCACAAAUUAGAAUUGUUUUAAGUCAAUUUUGUCCUAAUUACAGUGAUUUUCACUUGAAUAUAUUUGAUUAAAAUUUAAUUAAAAUAUUCUCCUGUCUUCUUAGGUCUAAACAACUGCAGGGAUUUUAUUUGGUGUAUUUUCUAAGUGGUUUUGUUUGGUGUAUUUUGUAUUUUGGAGCUCAGUUUGAUCCUGUGGCGAGAUGAGGCUGCCAGGAAGGAAAUUCUGUCAGGUUUUUCACCUGCUCCUAUGUGGAAACAAUGUGGGAGUCACUUCCAGGGGAGUGGGGAGGAAAUGGGGGAGAGAUUUUCUUCUCCUUUGAGAUAAAGCAGAGAUUCCCAGUUGUUGAGGUCUGUGCUCCUGGUGGGACACUGGAGCUGAGGCUAUAAAAGGGAUUAUAAAUGGGAUUAUAAAAUAUCUGUGCUGCCAGCAUGGGGGGUGAAGAGAGGGUUAUUCCUGGAGGAAAUUCUGCAGAAAAACAUGCAAAAAUGGGAGGAGAAAAUGAGUGAUAUUUGAAUAUUUUCUUUAGAACACCCCAGUAACAAAUCAAACACUGCAGGUUGGGUUUGCCAAUUCCUGAUUUAAAUCCCAAAGUGACUCUGGAUUUGCACUCACUUUGUGCUCUGAUAUUAAACACAGCAAUGUCCUUAAAACUUGUAGACUUCUUUCCAGAAUGCAGAAUUGUUGUUUUGUGCACACAACUGAAUGCUGCAUAAAGGCUCAAUCUGAGAUUUUCCUCAUCUCUGGCCAGUGGUGACUUUGCAGAUUUUUAUAAAUACUUUUAUUUUGUAUUUGACUUUUAUUUCUCACUCAGUUUUCCUGGAAAGGAAAUUUUGGUGCCUUUUUCCCCUCUGUAUAUUCCCCAUGUGGUAAAAUUGAAGUGUAAAAAUGAGAUAGGACUGCAAGCAUUAAAUAAUAGCAACAAUAACAUGGAAUUACAGGGAAAAAAUCUCAAAACAAUCUGUUGUAACUUCCCAGAGCUGUGUUACAGCAGGAGGACAAGGAGGUUGUGGGAAUAUUGGCUCUCCCCAUUCAUAUUCCAAAAUGCAGAAUUGCAAUUCCUGGGCAGAGCUUUGUGAGAUGGCAUAAAAUAAAUAAAUAAAUGAGACACAAAAAUUUAGGACUGAUUUUUGCCAUUCUUUACUGUACUCCUGCUUAAAAAUGAGAGCUACCAUUGUGGUCAAGUGGGGGGAAAAAAAACCCAAAGCCAAGUGUGAGCACAUAAAAGAAAAAUUAAAAAAUUGAAAUCUGGGAGAGAGGGUGAAAUCAGAGGAAGCUGCAGACAGAGGAAGGGAGACACUUGUCUCAUUUUACUCCCUAAAGGCUUUCUGAAGAGAAAAAUGCACUUUUGGUGCCUUGAUCUCAAGAAAUUGAUGGCACAAACCAGCCAGGAAAUAAGAAUGUAGUGAGAAAACAGAAUUCCACAGCAUCCAGGCUGCUUUUCCUCUGAAUGUUCCUCUCUCACCUUGGCUGUUGCUGCAGUUCCAGGCUGUGUCAGACAGGUGGAACUGGAGCUGACAGAGCCAAGAGCUGAACAGGAGCAGUGACUCUGUGCUGGUGCUGGUUCUGCUCUGUCUGCAGGGCUGGGUAAAGAACAAAGGAAAUGCAGGAGUUGGGACUGGAAUUUCUCUUUUAAAUCUCUAGAAAUUCACCUUUAUGACAAACAUUCCAGGUGGUUUAAUGGGAUUUUUCCUUUGAGCAAAUCCUGUGUCACUCUGCCUUUGCUCCUUGUGGUGCUGAGGAGUUUUCAGCUCCUGGAGAAGCUCUUGCAAAAUCUCCUCAUCUCCAUUUGCCUCAGUGUUUGAGAGAAGUGAAACACUGCUGUGCUCUGGAAAACAGAGUCAAACAGAACUUGACUUUAUUGAGAGAGGUUUGCCCUGUGCUGGGUCACUUCUGUCUCAAUCCCAGGGUAAAAGUGCAGAAAAUGAUGGAAAUUGGGGUGGAAUUUGAAUGAAAAUGGGUUUUUUACAUUUGGACAAACAAAUAGCAGGUUUUAGCUCUGGCUGCUCCAAUCCUCCACAAAAGUGCAAGUCAAGGUGGUUUUUACACUGCUUACAUUAAAUUUUAAUUUCCCAUCCAUUUAUAGAACUAUUUCAUCCCAAAUAUCCCUUAAUCUUGUGAUGCUUGAUAAAUUAUGUGCUAAUCACUGCAUUCAGCUAUUAAUUCCACUUCAUUUAUGUCAUACCAUAAAAAUUGCAAAAUAAUUUGUGUAAUACUCAAUUUAGAAAGCAGAUUGCACAUAUUGAGAAGUUACAAUACUAAGGUAUUAUUGUUGUUAAAUAUUCAUUUACAGGACAAUUGGGAUUCUGCUGGAACAGGUGUUGUGGUUGGAUUACAGUAAAGUUUGCUGAGAGUCAAAGAUUUUGGUGUCACUCCUUCAGGCACUGGAAGGUCACUGUUCAGGCACCCUGGAGCUUCUCCAGCACAGAUCCAAGGCUGGUUUUUUCUCCCAGGAAUUUCUUCCCUCGUGUGGACGUUUGGUUCCUUGUUGGCAUCACCCAUGGCUGGGUGUUGACAUCCAUUUUGAUUGUCUGAGCAGAGCCUGGAUUUCCUUUCUGUUUUACACAUUGCUCCCUGUCCUGAAUCCCUGAGGCACAGGAGGACAACGGAGGGGAGGAACUGCAGAAUUCCAGGGGUUCUGCUGGAGCUUUGGCCCAGCUGGGGGUGCCAGCUCGGGGAGCUCCCGAGCUCCUUCCCUCCGUGCUCCACUAAUGUCGGCCUGCCCCGCCUUGCUUUCACUUUCACAACCUCGGGCCAGCUCAGCAUUCAUGGAGAGCAAGGAGGUUUGGGGCUUCUAAAUUAACAGUUCAAAUAAGGGAUCAAGUAAUGAGUGCUGGGAAUUCUUUAGGAAACACAUAAAUGGAGCUUUAGCAGUUGUAAAAUUUGUUUGCUCUCUUAAUCAUUCUCAAGAAGAGCAGGUACAACUUUUUCCCUCUCCUUUAUCAAUUCAAGGAAACCUUUAAUUUCUUUUCUGGAAACCUUUUUGUUUCUUAAAUCUGUGUUGAACUAAACAGAUUUCUUUAUAUAUUAAUAGUAUAAAUAUUAUAAUACUUAAUACUCUUAUUAUUUCAAUAAUAAUUUAUAAAUAUAUGUAUUUUUUCCCUCAAUAAGAAAAUAAUUCAAGAACUCACAUUAGUGAGCUACAGAGAGACCCCAGAACUGCACCAUCAUCUUUGUUAGAGGUGGUUUAUUCUGUUUAGCCAAAUAAUAAAAAUGUGAUUCAUUGCUUGCUGUCCAUAAUUGCCAUUUUUCCCUGUUGAGUCCAAGGUGGGUUUGUGAUUUCCAUCACUGAGCAUGAGGGCUGUGCAGCCAGUGUGGAAAGCUCUCAGUCCUGAUCAGCACUGGGUUCACUCUUUCCUGUGAUUGUUUCCUCGUGGAUGGAUGUAAACAGAGGAAACGCUGUCAUGCCAGAGCAGAAAGGAUUCUGACAAUCCCAGAAUCGUUGGGGAGGUUGCGGUUUCCUCCCCCAAGGGCUGACAGGCAGCUUUGGGGACACAAUCCACACUUUUGGGGCGAGGGAGCAAAUGGGUAAUUGGGAUUUUUGCCAUCCAGCAGCAGUUAUUCACAAGUUUUGCUUUUUGAGGUGAAAGAAAUAAAAAUAAGAGUUGGGUUGGGGUUUUUUGUCUUGUCAGUAACACAAACUGUCCUUGUUUAAACUGGCUCUGUUUAAUCCUUUCUAAAUCUUAUUUCUGAAAAUUGAAAUUAUUUUUAAUACCACCUGAAUCACUUGAAAUUAAUGUGGUACAUAAAGGGAAAUCACACAAAGGAACCCUCAUACCUAAAGAAUCCUUUUUUUUCUCCACCAAGGAAGCCUCAAUUAAAUUAAUUCCAAUUCCAGUUCAUCCAUCAGCCAGGAUUUUAUGGACUUUGUUUCUAAAGAGACCCUUCAGGGACUUCUAUCCUGAUUAAACUCUCUUGCCAAGGGCCUGCUUUAUUCUCUUCUUCUUUUUUUAGGUUGUGGAAACACAUUUUGAAUCUUUAGAGAAUGAAGGAACAGUCAGACCUAAAGGGUAGCUCCACUUCACCUUGGAGAGGAAACUUCUCUUCAUUCUGAUUUUGUUUCCCCAAAUAAAUGUGAAGGUUGGACUUGGAGAUCUUUUCCAACCUUAAUGAUUCUGUGAUAUUCCAGUUUGAAUAAUUUUAAUUGCUGCCUUAUUUUAUUCUUUUUUAAUAACAUCUCAUACUCAUUCCAUAGAUUUUUUUUUUUUUCAAAAUACUUUUCCCAUCCCAGAAAAAAAAAAAAAACCAACAAAA
Molecule: long non-coding RNA, 7397 nt
Organism: Serinus canaria (Common canary)
Lineage: Eukaryota; Metazoa; Chordata; Aves; Passeriformes; Fringillidae
Exons: 2
Source: RefSeq, a predicted model, not a curated record